Canis lupus familiaris (dog) is the source of this 1994-nucleotide long non-coding RNA. RefSeq lists it as uncharacterized. Lineage: Eukaryota; Metazoa; Chordata; Mammalia; Carnivora; Canidae. The transcript is spliced from 6 exons. The record is from RefSeq and is a predicted model, not a curated record.
AGCUUGAUGUGGGACUCAAUCCCAGGAUCCCAGCUGGGUUACGACCUCAGCUGAAAGCAGCUGUUUAACGGACUGAGCCACCCAGGCAACCCCGGCAGAAGUCCUUCCUUCUGUGGCGUUCAUUUUCCUUGCCUGUAAAAUGAAGCCUUGCCUGUGAUGUUGCUUUACUCUCUGCUCCAACAGCCAAUGAUUCGUACUGUCACAGCAGUCCGCUGUGGACAGGUGUGACUUGACUGCACCUUGCUUCUGCUGGAUUGUGUGAAAGCCCUUUUGGUGCACCACUUUGAAGAGGUGUAGGGUGGUGUAAAAGGCACCCAAGCAGCAGAAUGUCAUGGCAGAAGGAUCUUACUGGCUUCAGCAGCCCAUAUAUCUCACUCCAGCGUCAGAUAACUGGACCACCCUGCCUCAACAACAGGGAAGUAAAGACAAUUCCAUUACUAAGAGUUGCAGAUGCAUGGCAUUAAUAAUGUAAUGCUGAAUAUUUAACUGAAGCAAAAUUGCCAGAUGAGGAAGCAAACGCACAGAGAGGUUAAGCUACCUACCCAGAAUCACACAGGAAGUGAUUAGCAGAGCAGGGAUUCAAUCCCAGACUGUGUAGCUCUGGAGUUCAUGACCACAGCCACCAUGCUUACCAACCAUGCAUCAAAGACGUAAGAUUAUCUGUUACCUCUUUUCUCUGGGGAAGUGGUCCCACUUCACUUUUUGUUUAGAUGGAUAUUGUCCUUCUGGCCCCUGAGAUCCUUCAAGAUUCCAGCCUGGUGGGCAGAGCUGCUUCAGGAUCCAAUUUCCUUCUGUUCCCUGGUCUAUCACAGUGCCACCUAGCUCGGGGGACCUGCUCAUUAAAUGACAGGCGAGUAAAUAAAUACAAUGCUAAUUACCUCAGAAAACAUACAUCACAUCACAUCUUACAGUUCAUGUGGCUUAAGAAGACUCCACACAAAAGCUGUCAUUGUCCACUUGGUUUCUCUUCAGACUGUGGAGUUGAUCCAACCAAACGUCUAAUUCUUCCUGACUGCCCCCCGCCCCACACAGUUUGCAAUGCUGGUUUUUAGGCCAUAAAAUACAAUCAUGUCGCCGUGGACAUGGGCAGGCUCCUAGGCCCACUGCAUUGUAUCUUUCAAGAAGUGAUAUGUCACUGCUUUACAAAACACCUGGAAUCUGUAUCGUUUAUUGCUCUGAGCCCAGCCAAGUUCUCAUCCUCCCUGUUCACACAACUUUGAGCUGGUUUAGCUCACCGCUGCUCAGAAUGCUGGGGCUAGGGGGGAGUGGGGAGACAAUUUCCUGGGCAAAGAUGGAAAUCAUGUUCAAGAAGGAAGGCUGCCUAAUGGAGUUUACAGCUCGGGAAAUUUCCUUCCAAAGACUGCAUGUUUCUGCACAGAAGGAAAGCACGUUCCACGAAGAGUCCCUACAGAUUUCCAAACUCUGCUGAAAGAUCUGAAGUCAUUCAAUGCAAUUCUAGAAGUCUGGAGGGUUAAAAUGUCCCUGUCUUUCUCCCCUUUAAUCCAUCUUCAACAUAUUUUUUUCUAAACAUUGACUUUAUUUUAGUAUAUUGUGUUGUGAAUUAUAAUGGUUGUAUAUAGAUUCUUGUAACCACCACCACAAUCGAGAGAGAGAGCAGCUCCAUUAUCUCCCUCUCCAAAACUGACAUUUUUUUAUAGUCACACCCUCUCCUGUCCCUAACCCCUGGUAAAUGUCAAUAUAUUCUCCGUCAGUACAAUUUUGUCCUUUAGUGACCAUCAUAUAAAUGCAACCAUAGAGUGUGUAAACUUUGAGGCUGGCUUCUUCCACACAACAUAAUGCUUUUGAAAUUCAUUCAAAUUGUUUUAUCUAUCUAUAGUUCAUUCUUUUUUUUUAUUGAGGACAUCAAUCCCAUUGUAUGGAUAUUUCACAGCUUGUUUGUUUGUCUGUUUGUUUUUAUAAUUCAGCCCCUGAAAGAUAUUUGAGUUUCCAGUUGCAGUCUCCUUAAGGUGCUCUCUCCCUCUCCCUCUGCCCCU